CCGCCUAGUCUGCCUAGACUCACGGGCUGCCCCUGCCUGAGUGUGCAAAGGAGCCCAGAGUGGCACGGAGGCAGGCCAGGGAGUCUCAUGGUCACCUUGUGUUCAGGAAAAACUCCAGGCCCAUGUGGCGACUCUGAGGGAAAGGAGAGCGAAGCUGCUGCGGUUAAAGGAGACCAGUGAGCAGAGAAGCCAGCAGUACCUGAAACAGACACAAGCCAAGAGGCAGAAGAUCGUGGCCGAGUUUCAGCAGCUGCGGCAGUUCCUGGAGGAACAAGAGCGACUCCUGCUGGCCCAGCUGCAGAAGCUGGAGGAGGAGAUUAGGAGGCACCAGACCGAGAGGGGCAGGAAACUCUCGGAGCAGAUUUCCCGUCUCAGCGAGCGGAUCGGGGAGCUGGAGGGGAAGUGUCAGAAGCCAGUGAGUGAAUUCCUGCAGGUGAGACCGAGGAGAAACAGCCCAGCCCCCCACCCAGGGAAGGGAGGCUCCUGAAACACAAGUGCUGGGGUCCAGCCGUCAGGUCUGGGUGUAACGUGGCAGGUGCUUUGCUGACACGUGAGCAACUGUUGGGCUUUGCAGAGUCCCAGGCACAGAGCUACGUCUAAACCCCUUCUCUGGGGCCCCUUU
Pelodiscus sinensis (Chinese soft-shelled turtle) is the source of this 622-nucleotide non-coding RNA. NCBI's taxonomy places the organism in Eukaryota, Metazoa, Chordata, Testudines, Trionychidae. The record is from RefSeq and is a predicted model, not a curated record.